CCGAGAUGGAGCAGCCUCAGUGUGAGUCUCUUCCCGACGGGGCGUCAGCUUUGCUUUUCCUCUCUAGUUUCUGAAAAGGUUUAUAUACAUCCCAGCCCACGUCAGUACUGAAUUCCUUUUCACACACCCACAAAGUUGCGAGUUGUUUCCGGGGUUCCCACCAUGGUGAGGAGUGCUGCAAGACAAGGAAGUGUUGAAUACUGCCAGAGAAAGGUUGAAGAGAAUUCCUACUUGCUGGGAAGGAAAAGAGACUGUCCCAGGGUGACCCAGCCGAAGUGAGGAACUCUCACACCUGCUAUCCUGCCGCACCAGCACGCUCUGAGUCUGGGCUUCUCAUCGCCCCUUGGCACGGCUGCAGCAUCACUAACAUCUUCUAGUAAUGUUGCUGGUGGCCACGCCAUAUUCAGCUUCCUGCCAUCGUGACAAAAUCCCAAGGAAACUGGGUUGAAAGAGGAAAGCAAGUCACAUCCCUAACUACUGGAGAUGGCCUUCCUACUCGGUGGGCGGGACUCCACAGACUCAUCACUGGGGACAAGGAACUGUCAUGGCACUCAUGACUGGUGAGGUGGAGACUAGGAGAGUCAUUGCAAAAGUCGGUGUGGAAAUUCUUUAAAAUUCAGCACAGAAUUAGCACCAGAUUCACAAUUCUAUUUGUUUAAAUCCCAAAGAGUGAAAACCAAGUCAUGAAAAGAAGCCAAGUGUCCAUCAAUCCAGUGUCCAUCAAUGGAUGGAUGGAUGGAUGCACACAGUGUGAGCCAGGCAUGCAGUGGAAUGUUAUUCAUGGUUUAAAAAGAAAGAAAUUCAGACAUAGGCUACCUACCACACGGCUGGUCACUGAUGACACUAAGCUAAGUGAAAUAAGCCAGUCGAAGGACAAACUUGGUAUGACUCCGUAUGCAGGAGGUUCCUAGAGCUGUCAGACUCCCAGUGACAGAGACAGCAAUAGUGGCUGCCAAGGGUGCAAUGAGGGGAAAUACGGAGUUAUUUAAUAGGGGCAGAGUUUCCACUUUGCAAGAUGACAAUAGCUGAGAUUGACUGUACCAUAAUGAGUGUAAUCAAUGCCACCAUAGGUGAAAUCAGCCAGACUCGGAAAGACAGACGGCACAUUGAUACUUUUGCAUCCCAGCGAGUAUACAGAUGUAUAAGUAUACAGAGAGUAUGAACCCAGUGGGAAAGUAUGGGAUGAAUAUGGUCGAGGUUCAUGAUUUACUUGAAAGAAAUUGUCUUUAUGAAACCCAGUAUUACAUAGAAUGAAUACACACCAAUAAAGUUUUUAAUAAAGCGUCUAUAGCUUUGGGUAAGAUACAAUAAGAUGUGUGUACGAUAUAUUAAAAAGCACAGCAUUUUGUAUGACAACUAAAAAAGCAUCAGAAAAAGAAAAGGGUGAGAGUACCUCACAUUUUGUGUAUUUUGCCACAGCUGAAGACUAAGCAGAUUGGAAAUGCUGACUUGCGGUCUGCCCAGAGUACCAGGGCCUAGAAUUUUCACAAACCCUAUCACGGGUGAAGGCCAGACCAGUGUGAGCUAUACAGCAACACUGUGCCUAUCUGGGGGUCCUUCCAAGGCAGACCUCUCCAGGAACUGCAAGUUCAUGUGUUGGGGAGAGGCAAGGUGCAGCGCCAGGGUGACUACAGUGCGCUGACAGGUUUUCGUCAACUUGACACAAGCCUAGACAUACUGGGAGGAGGCAUGUUUAUUGAGAUGAUGCUGCCAUGAUUGUGCUCUGUAAGCAAGCCUGUGGGGUGCUGCUUUGAUUGAGGAUUGAUGUGGGAAGACUCAGGUCACUGUGGGCAGUGUUGGCCCUGGGAAAUCCUCCUGGGUUAUCUAAGGAAGCAGGCUGAGCAAACGAUGGGGAGCAAGUCAGUAAAGAGCACAUGCCCAUGACUUUGGCUUCAGUUCCUGUCUCCAGGUUCCUGCCCUGACUUCCCACAAGCAUUAUACAGUGAAAGUACAGCUGGAAGAUCAUAAACAACCUCGAUACUUCAUGAUGGGACAUGUAAGCUGAAAUAACCCUCUUUCUCUCCAAGUUGCUUUUGGUUAUGGUGUUUAUCCAAGCAAAAGGAACCCUAAGUAAGGCGGAGAUUUGUACCAGGUCAUGGGAACUCCUAUGACAGACAGGUUUGUGAUGGUAUUUGAACUUGGGGCUAGAAAAGCUGUUGAAUGUUUAAAACUCAAGCUCUGUAGGAGCUUGGAAGAAAAGAAUGUUGGGAGGGAUGAGGAAGAUGGAGACAUGGCUUGUAAAGUUUUGGAGAUAAAUGAAGACUGUGGGGGCCAUUCAAUAGUUUGAAUUCAGAAUUUGUGUCUGGUCAGCUGGUCCUGAAGAGUCAGUGUGAUUAGGAAGAGUCCAGCAAUGUUGAAGACCAUAAGUCUGGGGAUAUUGCCUCGGACUCAGCACACAGAAACUGUGACUGUGGGGGCCAAGGCUGCAUCUCACGUUAGGAGCCAAACUUUGCAAUAUGCGAGAGCUAUCCAAGGGGUGCUGGUUUUGAAAACACGAAAGAGUCACAAGGAAUAACUAAGACCUGACCCUGCCGCGUGCCAUGAGAGGCCAUUGAGAAGGCGCAGACUCAGUUGCAGUGGAAGCACCAGCACCAACGGAGGUGUGGGAAGAAAGUGAGGCCUGGCACCAGGGAGCAAAGUGAGAGUCCCUGAAGAGAGGCCAGGAGAGGCUAUGGGUGAAGGUGCAGCCCAACUGCUGUGCAAAUCCCAACAUUUUGGAGAUGCCAAUAUCAUGGACGGCCACGAAGCCAGAAGCCAUGGAGGGGUGCCCACCUAAGUCAUAAGAGUUGUGUGUGUGUGACAGAGGGCAGAGUUGGAGGAGGGCCACUGGGGAGCCCUGUGGGGUCCACAGAAUUACGAGUGGGUCCCAGAUGUGAGAAGCUGAACUUUUUACGCCAUCAAACCUCGGUUUUGUUUUGAUUUGACUGCGAUUGUGCCCUGAGUCUUCCCUCUUGGAAUAUGAAAUUAUGCAACUUGUUUAUCUUAAAUUUUAUCAGAUCCCACAGUUAAGAUAUUUCGGACUGUUAGAGAGACUUUUUAAUUUUAGAGACGCUUUGAACUUUGAAGAGACAUUUUUUGGCAAGGCCCGCUAUCUACACCAAGGAACACCACCAGUGACUUAGCUCCAGAUGGCGAGAUUCUAUCACAAGAACAUAAACAAUGUGAGUAACCAAAGAAGCGUGUCUCCUCGAGAAAUCAAACACCCCACCAUAAUGUUCCCUUGGCUGAUGUGCAAGACAAUGAUUUUAAAAUUUCAGUUAUAGAUGUGCCUAGAAAUAAAUCCACAUUAUCUAUGGAAAACGGAUGUGUGAUGAGGCUAUCAAGAUCCCUCAGUGGUGGUGGGAAAAGGUCUCACAACAAAUAGUGUUGGAAAGUUGUAUUUUUACGCACCAGAGGAUAAAUUUAGACCCUUACCUCACACCCUUUAUAAAGCUAACUCAGAUGGAAUCAGACCUAAAGUUAAGAGCUAAAACUACAAAUCUCUUAGAAGAAAGAGGAAAAUGAGGCUAAAUCUCCAUGACCUUGGGCUUGAGAUUGCACAUUUGAAUGGCACCAAAAUAUGAGCAACAACAACAACAAAAAAACAGACGAAUGAUUUCGUUAUGUUAGAAAAUGUGCAUAAAAGCAUAUCCAAGGAUAUCCUGUAGAAAGGGAGAAAAAAAUGACAGAUUGUGUAUCUGGUGAGGAUCUAGUUUCUAGGCUGUAUGAGGUUCCUUAUCACUCAACAACAGAAGUACAGCCAUCCGAAAAGAAGCAAAGGGAAGUACCAUACCUUUUGGUUGCAAAACUUAGUGGUAUCAAACUGGUACUGACUUGAAAACCUUCUCCCGGCCAGCUAGUUUUUACAGGGCUAGAAGGUGCUAGGCAUGCCAGUAGGGGAGAAAAGAUUUGUCCUACCCAGCAUUGGACCAUAUGGCAAUAUCAACCCGCCAGGCAAGACAUGCCCACUGGUGCAAGAGGAGCAUGGAGUUUCCGGGGAUAACCAACUUAUUUCUGGCCAGAUCUGCGGCGUGCUCCAGAGGAGAGAAGUUACUCCUGGUACGAUGGGAAACCUGGUCAAAAACCGAGGGCUCUGGUAGUCAGAGGU
Myodes glareolus (Bank vole) is the source of this 4087-nucleotide long non-coding RNA. RefSeq lists it as uncharacterized. NCBI's taxonomy places the organism in Eukaryota, Metazoa, Chordata, Mammalia, Rodentia, Cricetidae. The record is from RefSeq and is a predicted model, not a curated record.